GAUGAAGAACGUAGCGAAAUGCGAUACGUAAUGUGAAUUGCAAAUUCAGUGAAUCAUCGAGUCUUUGAACGCACAUUGCGCCCCCUGGUAUUCCGGGGGGCAUGCCUGUCCGAGCGUCAUUGCUGCCCUCAAGCACGGCUUGUGUGUUGGGCCCCGUCCUCCGAUUCCGGGGGACGGGCCCGAAAGGCAGCGGCGGCACCGCGUCCGGUCCUCGAGCGUAUGGGGCUUUGUCACCCGCUCUGUAGGCCCGGCCGGCGCUUGCCGAUCAACCCAAAUUUUUAUCCAGGUUGACCUUGGAUCAGGUAGGGAUACCCGCUGAACUUAAGCAUAUCAAUAAGCGGAGGA
RNAcentral lists this unclassified non-coding RNA (345 nucleotides) under soil metagenome. Its description in RNAcentral is "partial contains 5.8S ribosomal RNA, internal transcribed spacer 2, and large subunit ribosomal RNA". The stretch from base 1 to 119 matches the Rfam family "5.8S ribosomal RNA", at positions 35 to 154 of the family's 154-position model. The record is from RNAcentral.